Molecule: ribosomal RNA, 770 nt
Filed under: Pseudaesopia japonica (wavyband sole)
Lineage: Eukaryota; Metazoa; Chordata; Actinopteri; Pleuronectiformes; Soleidae
Description: partial 12S ribosomal RNA
Rfam family: Bacterial small subunit ribosomal RNA
Source: RNAcentral
CAGAAGCUUGGUCCUGACUUUAUUGUCAGCUUUUANUUUAUUUACACAUGCGAGUAUCCGCCCCCGUGUGAGAAUGCCCACCUACGCCCUUCUGGGCUCAAGGAGCUGGUAUCAGGCACGCACUUCGCAGCCCAUAACACCUUGCUUAGCCACACCCCCAAGGGACUUCAGCAGUGACAAAUAUUAAGCCAUGAGUGAAAACUUGACUUAAUAAAAAUAAAAAGAGCUGGUCAAAUCUCGUGCCAGCCACCGCGGUUAAACGAGAAGCUCAAGUUGACAAGCAACGGCACAAAGCGUGGUUAGGGACUAAUCUUAAACUAAAGCCAAACCAUUUCAGAGCCGUUAUACGCAUACGAAAACAUGAAGCCCAACAACGAAAGUGGCUUUACCCACCCUGAACCCACGAAAGCUAAGAAACAAACUGGGAUUAGAUACCCCACUAUGCUUAGCCCUAAACAUCGACUAACACAACAAGUCUCCGCCCGGGAACUACGAACAUAAGUUUAAAACCCAAAGGACUUGGCGGUGCUUAACUUCCCCCUAGAGGAGCCUGUUCUAGAACCGAUAAUCCCCGUCUAACCUCACCCUCCCUUGCUCCGUCCCGCCUGUAUACCUCCGUCGUCAGCUUACCCUGUAAAGGACACAUAGUAAGCAAAAUUGGUAACACCCAAUACGUCAGGUCGAGGUGCAGCGAAUGGUAGGGAAAGAAAUGGGNUACAUUCGCUAUAACCCUAGCGAACACGAAUACACACGUUGAAACACGCAAUUGA